This 468-nucleotide ribosomal RNA is filed under the name uncultured bacterium. Its description in RNAcentral is "partial 16S ribosomal RNA". It matches the Rfam family "Bacterial small subunit ribosomal RNA", at positions 28 to 508 of the family's 1533-position model. The record is from RNAcentral.
GAUGAACGCUGGCGGCGUGCUUAACACAUGCAAGUCGAACGGUGAAGCAGAGCUUGCUCUGUGGAUCAGUGGCGAACGGGUGAGUAACACGUGAGCAACCUGCCCCUGACUCUGGGAUAAGCGCUGGAAACGGCGUCUAAUACUGGAUAUGAGCUGCGACCGCAUGGUCAGCAGUUGGAAAGAUUUUUCGGUCUGGGAUGGGCUCACGGCCUAUCAGCUUGUUGGUGAGGUAAUGGCUCACCAAGGCGUCGACGGGUAGCCGGCCUGAGAGGGUGACCGGCCACACUGGGACUGAGACACGGCCCAGACGCCUACGGGAGGCAGCAGGGGGGAAUAUUGCACAAUGGGCGAAAGCCUGAUGCAGCAACGCCGCGUGAGGGAUGACGGCCUUCGGGUUGUAAACCUCUUUUAGCAGGGAAGAAGCGAAAGUGACGGUACCUGCAGAAAAAGCGCCGGCUAACUACGUGC